UUGUAUUCAUGAUGAAUAUAUCUGUCUUUACUUUUUGGAAUCAUGUAUGUGGUUCACUUGUCUCUGCUAUGCUGUUUGCUCUGUAAUUGGAUUGUGAGAGGUUUGUAAAUAAGAUUUCAGGACAUGUGCUAUUUUGUGAACCUCCUACUUUUCUUGAAAUACACACUGUUCGUUUUUCUCGUAUACACUCUUUCUUAUGUUCCAUUUUUUGUAUUCAUAUAUUCAUAGGUCAUUCUUAGCGACGAGUUUAGAAAGUCUUUCACCAAACUAAAAUCACCACAGCUCAGGAAGGAAGUACUCCAAAAGCUUAUCAAACUUGAAGAUGAUUGGAGGAGAACAGUUAAGAACCUUGAGAUGCCUGGUGCUUCUCAUCUUGCGAAAGUAUACAAGGUCUGGGACCUGUAUCUUGUUUGGACUACUGACGUGAAGAAAACCGAAAGAACGUAUUCCCAGAUAAUAAGAAUUUGGGACCUAUUGUCACAGCAGAAUGUUGCAAGAACUGUUCAACGUCUCGAGAAUCUGUUCUCCAUGUACACGGAUGAUUACCUUGAUCAUUGCAAGAGAGUGGAGACACAGGGGAAACUGGAGGUUCCUAUGGUUUUGGUCUUUGGGAUGUUGUGCAUGAUAUUAUCCGCUAUAACAUGGAUUGCAAAGUUGAUUCUUAUGAAGAGCAUGAUCUCGUGGAUACAUCAUAUGCCAUGGAGAAUCCAAAAGUUAGUGAAAGCUUCCUGCUGAUGAAAUUCUACUCUUUAUCAUCUGGAACGGCAAAGCAUUUGUGACAGCUACUAAUGGGUCUGAAAUUGACAUCCCCUUUGAACAGACUGAUGAAGGGCAGGUGGUUAUCCAAUUCCUGCUCACUAUUUUUAUACUUGGGAGGUCAGGCAGUGGAAAAAACCUACCUUACACUCUACGAAGCUCUGUCUGACUUACCAUUGUGUUCGUUGCAUUGCCAUAGGUAUGGUCUACAUGCAAAAUGGUACUUCUAGAAUUGAGGAAGCUGGUGACUGUUUUGCUAGGGCUGAAUGCUGGUCGGAGACAGCUGAAAUAUUCUUUAAAGCUAAAUGUUACACCAAGUGUUUCUCCAUGUGCUCGAACGGAAAACAAUUAUACAAUCUGGGCUUGCAGUUUCUGCAACAGUUAAGAGGAGGAACAUUCACUUGAGAAUUCAACAUCCUUGGAGGUUUCUGCAAUUAGAACGAAGUAUCUGGAAAAUUGUGCUCAGCAUUAUUUUGAGCGUGCUGACAUAAAGCAUAUGAUGCCCUUUGUUAAAGCUUUCAGCUCUAUGGAUCACGUUUAUAAAUUCUAGAAAUCUAUGUCAAGUUUAGAGAUGGAAAUGGGUAAUUUCCUAGAAGCUGCAGGAAUACCAAAGCAUAAAGGAGAUGUCUUAUUGGAGGUAGAUAUACUCGAGAAAGCAGAUUUGUUUGAGGACGCAACAUGGCUUCUCCAUAUCAUUGUGGAUUCCUUGUGGUCUUCAAAUAGUAGAGGAUGGCCUCCCAAAAGAUAUGCAGAGAAGGAGCAGUUGCUUGCAAAAGCCAAAGAGAUGGCAGAAAAGGUCUCUGAGUGCUUCUACUUACUGCUUUGUUUGCAUGGAAGCUGAUGCACUGUCAGAUGGGAAAAAGUCCCUUUCCAGUUUGAGUUGCACUUUGCUUGAGGGCAGAAAAUGUGCAAACUUGUUAGUUGGACUUGUUGCUUCCUGUUCGAUCCUUGAUGUUCAUCUUCAAUCUCGAGCCUCUGGAUACAAGAUAUAAUCAGGACCAGGAUCUGAAGAUGAAAAUAGCUGCAAUGACAUGCUGGCCUCUAACCAGAUGUCACCCCAAACUCUGUUUUGUGUCUGGAAUCACUGGAAGACGAUCAUAAUCAAAGUAUUAUGUCAUCUUUGCCACACUGAUGGUCCAGAAUUAAAUGAUUAUGCAGUUGUUUAAGAAGAUCUUUGCGCCAAGUACUUUGGAUUGAGAAAAGAUGGUGAAGUUGACAGAUAUGUGGUGCUGAACAUGAAUGCAAGUUGGCUUUCCAAUGCUGACAGGAAUUCUUUGCAGCAAGACGGGAACAGAUGUUUAUUGGGUGCCCCUCAGUGUCGUUCAUGUGCUCAGUGUUUCUUGAUGAAUGAGCUGUCUUCUGUUGGUUUCAGUGUACUUAAGAAGUUGGAGUGGAUUGUUCAAAUUUCUCCAAAGCCGGCAUCUUCGCAUACCCUGGUGAGAACUAUCCUUAUCAUACAUGAGAUAGCCAAGUUUUUGGAAGAACCAGAGUUCAGUAUGCCAAAAGGUUCCAUGAAGUUAAGAAGCUUUUUUGUUCUCUGUGGGCGUUGAUUCUUUGAGUUAGUUUUUCUUGUGUGGAGAGAUGGGACAAUGAGGAGCCUCUUGCAUCUACUUGACUCGCCAGCUGCAUAUGGAUUGGUUGCUGAUUCUCGUGGUGCAGAUCUUCACCCAGCAAAUAAAAAAUUGACUCAUGGGCAUCUUGGGAGAACAACCAUGCUUCUGCUUCAUGCAGCACAAUUGGACGAAGUGCUACUUUCAAGACUACUACAGUACCUGGGCAAUAAUUCUGAGUGGGCAGAUUUUUUUUGAUAUUUCAAGAGAUUUCUUGAUAGUGGUCGGGAUAGAUCCUCCUUGAUCUUCAACUUUAAGCUUGCUCGAGUGUACCUUCAGUGUAAAGUGGAAGGAUGAACUAGACUACAUAUCCCCACCAUGCUAUGUGGGACUGUGGGUCUUAUGGAGUGCCUUGGUUUCUUGGAUUCAUCAUGCUUACUGCAGAAUGAUUUUAUAUGCUGCACGAAAUCUCUGUUGGUCAAUAUGCUGGAAUGCCGUACCAGCAAGGCUUUACACUGACACCUGCCUGGUAUCUAAGUCAAGCUCAGAUUCCAAUUUUGAUGGUUUGGCACACUCAUCAGGCCGUUUCAUAUAUGAGACAAUUGUGACUAUCUUGAUGGCCAAGCAUAUGCUCCAGGAAUGGGUACAUAUGACUUCAUGUCCUUCCAGUACUUCAUACAAAGCAGUCCUCCUGUGACUAGUUGUUACACUUUACCCUCUGAUCCUUACUCUUUCUCUGGGGAAGUGCUAUGAGGUCACACAUAACCUUGUGAGGAAUGAAAUCUUUAAGGAUUUACCUUUGGACUUCUCUAAGAAGAUUGAAGAUGCUUUGAAAAUGAGGUCUCGCACACCUAGCAACUUCACAAGAGUGCUUGCUGAUGCACUUGCCGCAAUCGGAGAUCGUAUGGUAGUUAUUGGUUCACCCGAAGCCCCAGUAAUCUGUCGAAACUUGAAUCCUUGUAUGAUUAGCAAGGAGGAUUUGCAUGAUGUUCCGAAGAUAAUGGCUCUUUGUGUCUUGAAGAAUCAAAUUCUGUAAAGCAAGAUACUCCAUUGCCACAACAAACUGAUGGUAGCAAGUGUCUUGAAGAACCAAGUUCUGUAAAGCAAGAGACUCCAUUUCCAGAAAAAUCUGAUGGUAGCAAGUUCAAAAAUGUUAUUUCUGGAAACAUUCCUGUGACGGUAGAGAUAGUAAAGAUAUGGAUCAGUCCGAGAAAGAGAAAUUCAACCGAUGUCCUUGUGCCUGUAUAGAGGUAUUAAAAGGUAGAGGGUUCGAGCAAGACAGAUUCAACUGGUAUCUUUGACACUCUCUGGAAGAAGCUUGAGACUUUUCUACUCGAUGAGCAAGACCAGAAAGAUGCAAGGGCUGUCUUUUCAAUUUCUUAGAGACGCCCUUCCAUGGCUGGAACAAACAGGCGUUCUAGCAUAGAUUGAUAAAGAACUUGAUGAACACAGUCUGGAAGAGGUCAAGCACAUCUGCAGUGAGUUUGAAAAACUCUCCGACAGGAUGGACAAAAAAGAUGUGGAUGACCUAUACACAAAGUGGGAAGGUGCUGGGAAGACACUGCAGCCGGUCAUCCGCCUUGUGAGUGGUACAGGAAUAUGCAUGAAUGAUUGUAGUGAAUGCAGGAAGUGAAGGUGCAAGGAAAAGGAGAAAGACCCCAGGUUCCCAUCCUCUGCAUUCUGAAGGUGCCCACAGCCAGUUUAUACAAAACUUGUCCAGAUGAUGAGCGAGCUGACAUGGGAGAAGCUGCCUCGACUUCAACAAAGGUGGCGCAGAAGCAGAAAGCAAGAAGAAAUCCAAGGAAACAAAGAAGUCUGACAAGGGCCGUGGCAAGAAGUGAGCUGCUGUAGUUACUUUCCCGCCUUCAAAAAAUAUUUGCGUGCACCGGAGAAGCUUGUUUUUUUUUUUUGAACGGGCCGGAGAAGCUUGUACGUAAAACCAUUGGAUAAGACAGCAGAAAUGUGUUGCUUCGUGUCUGACCAGGGAAUGCAACUUUUGAACCGGCACAAGACAGAUGCACCCAUGCAUCACGGUGAAGUUCCCGCUAAAUUAUUUAUGAUGAUUGAAUGUGCUUA
Long non-coding RNA from Aegilops tauschii subsp. strangulata, 4382 nucleotides. RefSeq lists it as uncharacterized. NCBI's taxonomy places the organism in Eukaryota, Viridiplantae, Streptophyta, Magnoliopsida, Poales, Poaceae. The record is from RefSeq and is a predicted model, not a curated record.